ACUGCGUCCUCACCGAGGUAUUGUCCGCUUUGGGGAUCGGGGAUCGUCGACCGCUCCCGGGGGUCCACCCUCUGGUGGCACCCCGGGUGGAACCACCCUUUCCACCCCUCACGGUUUUGCCUCCAAACGGCGCCUCGAUGAGAAGAGGUUAUUGAGCCCCCAUUUAAGGCACAGACCUUUCCGCUGAUUAGCCGAUGUGGGACUAAAAUUCGGAACCCCAUC
RNAcentral lists this long non-coding RNA (222 nucleotides) under Phoenix dactylifera (date palm). Its description in RNAcentral is "long non-coding RNA (PDAC_LNC002443)". Lineage: Eukaryota; Viridiplantae; Streptophyta; Magnoliopsida; Arecales; Arecaceae. The record is from RNAcentral.